Long non-coding RNA from Struthio camelus australis, 1341 nucleotides. RefSeq lists it as uncharacterized. The record is from RefSeq and is a predicted model, not a curated record. Lineage: Eukaryota; Metazoa; Chordata; Aves; Struthioniformes; Struthionidae.
CGCGCUUGCUUCCCGGCCGUGGUGCCCUCGCCGUCGUGCCCAAACUUGGGAUUCCCGCCCAAACUAACGGUCCUCCGCCCGCCGUCUCCUCCCGGCGCCGUUUCACAGAGGCGGAUCCCCGCAGGGCGGUCGGGGGCCGCGUGGAGUCGUUGCGGAUCCACCCUGCUGCGUAUGAAUGACUGCUAGGGCGUUUUCCAAAGAUCUCCCUGAUCUUUGCCACAGCCUUCUGAGGUCUGCACCAGCCAUCUGACUACACCACUUCUUCAAGUCAUGAUUUGUGUGAGAGCUCUCAAGGCUGACUCCUUUCUCACAGAAGAAGCUGCUUUCAUUGGCUAAAUAGAACAAAAGAGCAUCCAACUGGCUAAAGUACGCAUCAUGUUUUCUCAGCAUCUGCUCCUACUGCUUUCCUCUGGUUCAGGCGCUGUUCCCACAAGUAAUGUGCUUACCCUUUCCUGUCCGGGUCUGAAACUCUUUAAAUAAUAACAAUAAGGAAGGAGCAGAAGAGACACUGGGUGGUCUAGAUGAUGAAGAGAGAUUUGUUCAGAUAUGGACUGAAAAGAGAUGGAAAAUUAGCCCCUGAUCCAAAACCUAUUGGUACUAAUGGGAAUUUUUUCACUGAUUUCAUCAGGGUUCAGAUCAGGACUUUCACGAGAACAAGGGGGCAUUUUCCAGAUGGCAAAAUCUGGAGAAGCCAAGAGAGUUGUUCUUUUUCCUUUCCUGUCCAGGUCUGUCUGAAUAUGGAGUCCUGUUCCAUAUGCCAUUACCUUCCUCCACUUUUUGAUUUAAGAGCAGUGAUGAUCCUGUAUCUAUGUCAAUAUUUACAGGAGCGAUCCUGGCUGCUUUUCAAGUCUCAGUUAACAAAUCAUGUGAUAUACCAGGACAAGAGCUGUCCAGCAGAGAAGCCCUUUCUAAGAAAACGCUUCUGGCAGCAAUUAGAGCUGGGAGCAAGGAUACAGCAAAAAACAGCCAGAAGCAGGAACUGGAAAAUCUGGUGUCGUCAUUUUCAAUCUCUUAACAUCUGGCACACAGAUACACUGCAAGAUCCCUUGUUUAUAGUGCUCAUAUGUUUGUGGGACAGCGUAGCCACACUUGAAUUCAUGCAACUCUACAAAAACGACUCUUUGCCCACUCCCUGAUAUCUCUGUGAGGCUAAUGGAUAGGAAGAACAAGAGAUCUGUAGUGAAAAUCGAUGCUUUUGAGAGGCGGAUGACUGAGCAGAGUGUUUAGUGAGAGUUUAGUGAUAUAAAAAGCAUGAGAAAUGAAGUUUUUCUACUUUACAAUGUGAAUGUAAGCUGAUUUGCAUAUAAAUUGGACCUGUCAAGUGUACUAAUACCAAUCAAA